Molecule: ribosomal RNA, 755 nt
Filed under: uncultured archaeon
Lineage: Archaea
Description: bacterial SSU rRNA
Rfam family: Archaeal small subunit ribosomal RNA
Source: RNAcentral
UAGUCAACAUGCCCAAAGGACGUGGAUAACCUCGGGAAACUGAGGAUAAACCGCGAUAGGCCAAGGCUUCUGGGAUGAGCCAUGGCCGAAUUCUAUAUGGCCUUUGGAUUGGACUGCGGCCGAUCAGGCUGUUGGUGAGGUAAUGGCCCACCAAACCUGUAACCGGUACGGGCUUUGAGAGAAGUAGCCCGGAGAUGGGCACUGAGACAAGGGCCCAGGCCCUAUGGGGCGCAGCAGGCGCGAAACCUCUGCAAUAGGCGAAAGCCUGACAGGGUUACUCUGAGUGAUGCCCGCUAAGGGUAUCUUUUGGCACUUCUAAAAAUGGUGCAGAAUAAGGGGUGGGCAAGUCUGGUGUCAGCCGCCGCGGUAAUACCAGCACCCCGAGUUGUCGGGACGAUUAUUGGGCCUAAAGCAUCCGUAGCCUGUUCUGCAAGUCCUCCGUUAAAUCCACCUGCUCAACGGAUGGGCUGCGGAGGAUACCGCAGAGCUAGGAGGCGGGAGAGGCAAACGGUACUCAGUGGGUAGGGGUAAAAUCCAUUGAUCUACUGAAGACCACCAGUGGCGAAGGCGGUUUGCCAGAACGCGCUCGACGGUGAGGGAUGAAAGCUGGGGGAGCAAACCGGAUUAGAUACCCGGGUAGUCCCAGCUGUAAACGAUGCAGACUCGGUGAUGGGUUGGCCUCGAGCCAACCCAGUGCCGCAGGGAAGCCGUUAAGUCUGCCGCCUGGGGAGUACGGUCGCAAGACUGAAACUUAA